UCUGCCAUCACAUCAAAGAGACUCAUUAAUCUUCGGCACACCAUGAAUCGUCCACUUCUUUUUCUUUCCUUACUGGUUUCUCCAUUAUAUGUCCACUCCAGUGUUCAGCUCAUGGAAUCUGGACCAGGAACCGUGAAACCCGGAGGAUCUCUGAGACUAACUUGCACCAUCAAUGGUGACUCUGUCAAGAGCAACUUAUGGGAUUGGAUCCGGCAAUCCCCUGGGAAAGGACUGGAAUGGUUGGGGGAAAUAGACUGGGAUGAAUCGAAAUGGCGCUUAGACUAUGCCCCAUCUUUCCGAGGCAGAAUCACCAUUUCGGCUGACUCCUCCAAUAAUGUGUAUUAUCUUGCACUGUCGUCUCUGACAGAAGCAGAUACAGCCACCUAUUACUGUGCUCGAAAUCCACAGUGA
Non-coding RNA from Sceloporus undulatus (fence lizard), 411 nucleotides. Lineage: Eukaryota; Metazoa; Chordata; Lepidosauria; Squamata; Phrynosomatidae. The record is from the annotation of a RefSeq genome assembly.